Molecule: ribosomal RNA, 463 nt
Filed under: uncultured bacterium
Lineage: Bacteria
Description: bacterial SSU rRNA
Rfam family: Bacterial small subunit ribosomal RNA
Source: RNAcentral
CCAGACUCCUACGGGAGGCAGCAGUGAGGAAUAUUGGUCAAUGGUCGGGAGACUGAACCAGCCAAGCCGCGUGAGGGAGGAAGGUACAGAGUAUCGUAAACCUCUUUUGUCAGGGAACAAAGGCGGGGACGUGUCCCCGGAUGAGUGUACCUGAAGAAAAAGCAUCGGCUAACUCCGUGCCAGCAGCCGCGGUAAUACGGAGGAUGCGAGCGUUAUCCGGAUUUAUUGGGUUUAAAGGGUGCGCAGGCGGCCCGGCAAGCCGGGGGUAAAAUCGCGGGGCUCAACCCCGCCCAGCCGUCGGAACUGCCGGGCUAGAGUGGGCGAGAAGUGCGCGGAAUGCGUGGUGUAGCGGUGAAAUGCAUAGAUAUCGCGCAGAACCCCGAUUGCGAAGGCAGCGUGCCGUGCCGCCACUGACGCUGAGGCACGAAAGCGCGGGGAUCGAACAGGAUUAGAUACCCCUGUA